Molecule: signal recognition particle RNA, 270 nt
Filed under: Castor canadensis (American beaver)
Lineage: Eukaryota; Metazoa; Chordata; Mammalia; Rodentia; Castoridae
Description: Metazoan signal recognition particle RNA (ENSCCNG00000003068.1)
Rfam family: Metazoan signal recognition particle RNA
About the family: The signal recognition particle (SRP) is a universally conserved ribonucleoprotein. It is involved in the co-translational targeting of proteins to membranes. The eukaryotic SRP consists of a 300-nucleotide 7S RNA and six proteins: SRPs 72, 68, 54, 19, 14, and 9.
Source: RNAcentral
GUUACAUGACUGUAGUCCUAGCUACUCGGGAAGCUGAGGUAGGAGGAGCACUUAUGUCCAGAAGUUCUGGCUGUAGUGCACUGUGCUGAUUGGGUGUCUGCACUAAGUUAGGCAUCGAUACAGUGACCUCCCAGGAGUAGGGGACCACCAGUUGCCUAAGGAGAAAUGAACUGGCCAAGGUUAGAAACUCCUGUGCUCAUCAAGAGUAGGAUUGUACCUGUGAAUAGCCAGUGCACUCCCACCUGGGAGACACAGUGAGACCCUGUAUCU